This 398-nucleotide ribosomal RNA is filed under the name Salmonella enterica subsp. enterica serovar Typhimurium. RNAcentral describes it as "partial 23S ribosomal RNA". It matches the Rfam family "Bacterial large subunit ribosomal RNA", at positions 2000 to 2396 of the family's 2925-position model. The record is from RNAcentral. Lineage: Bacteria; Pseudomonadati; Pseudomonadota; Gammaproteobacteria; Enterobacterales; Enterobacteriaceae.
CGUAACGAUUUGGGCACUGUCUCAACGAGAGACUCGGUGAAAUCAUAGUACCUGUGAAGAUGCAGGUUACCCGCGACAGGACGGAAAGACCCCGUGGAGCUUUACUGUAGCCUGAUAUUGAAAUUUGGCACAGCUUGUACAGGAUAGGUAGGAGCCUUUGAAACGUGAGCGCUAGCUUACGUGGAGGCGCUGGUGGGAUACUACCCUGGCUGUGUUGACUUUCUAACCCGCACCAUUUGAUCAUGGUGGGAGACAGUGUCAGGCGGGCAGUUUGACUGGGGCGGUCGCCUCCUAAAGAGUAACGGAGGCGCUCAAAGGUUCCCUCAGAAUGGUUGGAAAUCAUUCGCAGAGUGUAAAGGCACAAGGGAGCUUGACUGCGAGACCUACAAGUCGAGCAG